GACGAACUCUGGCGGCGUGCUUAACACAUGCCAGUCGAACGAAAAGAGGGAAAGAGCUUGCUCUUUCCGGAAUUGAGUGGCAAACGGGUGAGUAACACGUAAACAACCUGCCUUCAGGAUGGGGACAACAGACGGAAACGACUGCUAAUACCGAAUAAGUUCCAAGGGCCGCAUGGCCCAUGGAAGAAAAGGUGGCCUCUACCUGUAAGCUAUCGCCUGAAGAGGGGUUUGCGUCUGAUUAGCUGGUUGGAGGGGUAACGGCCCACCAAGGCGACGAUCAGUAGCCGGUCUGAGAGGAUGAACGGCCACACUGGAACUGAGACACGGUCCAGACUCCUACGGGAGGCAGCAGUGGGGAAUCUUCCGCAAUGGGCGAAAGCCUGACGGAGCAACGCCGCGUGAGUGAUGACGGCCUUCGGGUUGUAAAACUCUGUGAUCCGGGACGAAAAGGCAGAGUGCGAAGAACAAACUGCAUUGACGGUACCGGAAAAGCAAGCCACGGCUAACUACGUG
This 513-nucleotide ribosomal RNA is filed under the name uncultured bacterium. RNAcentral describes it as "partial 16S ribosomal RNA". It matches the Rfam family "Bacterial small subunit ribosomal RNA", at positions 28 to 507 of the family's 1533-position model. The record is from RNAcentral.